AUUGAACGCUGGCGGCAUGCUUUACACAUGCAAGUCGAACGGCAGCGCGGGGGCAACCCUGGCGGGCGAGUGGCGAACGGGUGAGUAAUGCAUCGGAACGUAUCCUGUAAUGGGGGAGUAACGUAGCGAAAGUUACGCUAAUACCGCAUACGCUCGAGAGAGGAAAGUGGGGGAGUCGCAAAGACCUCACGUUAUAGGAGCGGCCGAUGUCCGAUUAGCUAGUUGGUGGGGUAAAGGCCCUACCAAGGACGACGAUCGGUAGCUGGUCUGAGAGGAUGAUCAGCCACACUGGGACUGAGACACGGCCCAGACUCCUACGGGAGGCAGCAGUGGGGAAUUUUGGACAAUGGGCGAAAGCCUGAUCCAGCCAUGCCGCGUGCGGGAAGAAGGCCUUCGGUUGUAAACCG
Molecule: ribosomal RNA, 407 nt
Filed under: uncultured bacterium
Lineage: Bacteria
Description: bacterial SSU rRNA
Rfam family: Bacterial small subunit ribosomal RNA
Source: RNAcentral